This 225-nucleotide ribosomal RNA is filed under the name uncultured bacterium. Its description in RNAcentral is "partial 16S ribosomal RNA". It matches the Rfam family "Bacterial small subunit ribosomal RNA", at positions 328 to 539 of the family's 1533-position model. The record is from RNAcentral.
ACGCUCGACACCUACGGGGAGGCAGCAGUAGGGAAUCUUCCGCAAUGGACGAAAGUCUGACGGAGCAACGCCGCGUGAACGAUGAAGGUUUUCGGAUCGUAAAGUUCUGUUGUUAGGGAAGAACAAACUUCGUUUGAAUAAGGCGGAGUCAUGACGGUACCUAACGAGAAAGCCACGGCUAACUACGUGCCAACAGCCGCGGUAAUCUGAGCGGGCUGGCAAGGC